RNAcentral lists this ribosomal RNA (429 nucleotides) under uncultured bacterium. RNAcentral's name for it is "bacterial SSU rRNA". It matches the Rfam family "Bacterial small subunit ribosomal RNA", at positions 355 to 776 of the family's 1533-position model. The record is from RNAcentral.
UGGGGAAUUUUGGACAAUGGGGGAAACCCUGAUCCAGCCAUGCCGCGUGCGGGAAGAAGGCCUUCGGGUUGUAAACCGCUUUUGUCGAGGAAGAAAUCCUCUGGGCUAAUACCCUGGGGGGAUGACGGUACUCGAAGAAUAAGCACCGGCUAACUACGUGCCAGCAGCCGCGGUAAUACGUAGGGUGCAAGCGUUAAUCGGAAUUACUGGGCGUAAAGCGUGCGCAGGCGGUCGUGCAAGACAGAUGUGAAAUCCCCGGGCUUAACCUGGGAACUGCAUUUGUGACUGCCCGACUGGAGUACGGCAGAGGGGGAUGGAAUUCCGCGUGUAGCAGUGAAAUGCGUAGAUAUGCGGAGGAACACCGAUGGCGAAGGCAGUCCCCUGGGCCUGUACUGACGCUCAUGCACGAAAGCGUGGGGAGCAAACAGG